RNAcentral lists this long non-coding RNA (473 nucleotides) under Sorghum bicolor (sorghum). Its description in RNAcentral is "long non-coding RNA (SBIC_LNC006658)". Lineage: Eukaryota; Viridiplantae; Streptophyta; Magnoliopsida; Poales; Poaceae. The record is from RNAcentral.
UCUCAUCUCUUUCUGUGGUUAGUGCUCUGAUGUCCGGAUAUAGAUAAUCUUGAAGUAAUUCUUGAUUCUUAGAUCAACUAGAGAAUUCUCAGGAAACUUCCUCUCUUCCCACCAAAAAUAAUUAUAUAGUUAUCCUUGGGCGAUCUUGGAUCUUAAUUAGUACACUCACGUUCUCUGUGGAAAAUCGAUACUCUGGAAUACUCCCGGGUGAAAGCUACAUCGGUAUCCGUGCACUUGCGGAUUUUUCUGUUUGCGUUUAAAAUACCCAACAAUACUCAAUCUCAUAUUCCAUUCUGUAAUCAAUAUUGAUGAUUGUUAAUCCCUUCCCACUAGUAAAAAUAUAAAUAACGAUACCUAGAAUACUUCCCGGUUAAAAUGCUACAUCGGUAUUAAUCUGUGCGCCUGCAGAUCCCAUUCAUUAUUUAUUUAGAAGAGCAAUUGUAUAUUUCAAUACCGCGUCUCUCAUGUCAUGC